Long non-coding RNA from Myotis brandtii (Brandt's bat), 1123 nucleotides. RefSeq lists it as uncharacterized. The transcript is spliced from 3 exons. The record is from RefSeq and is a predicted model, not a curated record. NCBI's taxonomy places the organism in Eukaryota, Metazoa, Chordata, Mammalia, Chiroptera, Vespertilionidae.
CCUCCUUGCACACAUCAGCAGCUGCAACAGUGGUAGCAUUGCCUUUGGUGGGCUGUGGUGACCUGGCUUGGAACAUUGGCAGUAGCUGCUUACAUCAGGCACGGAGGAUUGUAAUUUGGCAGCUGGCAGAACUGUGCUUGGAGCACACCUGAGACAUCCCGGAGCACCCUGACCUAUUGGAAGUGGGGGAUGAACCUCCAGCAGAGGAGGAGCACAGCCCUCUAAAUCUCAGAGGAGAAUUCUGGAAAAUCAAAGGGCACAUAGCUGACUUACCUCUGCUCCUGGACAGACAGAACCAAAAUACACCCUGAACAACGAAAGUAAGCACGGUCUCCAUGAAGUACCAGGGGAAGAAAUCUCAAAUCAUCCCCAAACUCCAGGAAGUCCAGAGGAGACUGCAAGUCUAAGAACCCUGAGUUACCUCAACUGGCACCAACAGGGAAACACUGAAUGUAACCCAGCCCUGUUGGUGGGCGUAGCCUGGAAAGAGGACUGACUACGUGUGCACGUCAUCGUCUGUGUAUAAUUCUUCUCUGUCAUUACUCAUUUUGAAUUCUCCCAAGUUAUAUGCAUAAAUCUUUGCUGCAAUACAUUUAUAGGGAUUUCUCCCAGUAGACUUUUAUGGCCACAAGAAGAUAAACAUUUGUUCAAAUAUUUUCUUGUUAUUGCCAUGAUAUUCUGUGGCUAAAUUUUAAAUGACUUGUGAAAUUUCCUGCUCAUUUAUCCUCCCUAAGGCUAAUGCCAUUUUCAGUAAGGGUGUCCCAGUUAACCAACUUUCCAUGGGUAAUCUCUCCAGCCUCAGUUUCUACCAGCUGAGGGGUUAGAUUCGAGAAGCUUGAAGUCCCUGCCAGCUUCAACAUUCUAACAUCUGCUCAGGACUCUUCGUAACCCACCUCCCAGGUUAUUUAAUGAGUUUGAAGCUCACUUUUCUCUGAGGCGAAGUGUGAUCUGGGCAUGUCCCUUGAAAGCCUUCCAUAGGAUAUGACUACUCUCCAUGACUUCACACCAGAAGGCCUUGAGUAAAGAUCACUAUUGAGCUGAUUUUGCCAAAAGAAACAGUUUUGUUUUAAGAAUGUUUUCCUUCCCCGGUCGAUGUGGCUCAGUUGGUUGAAUGUGGUCCCAU